Molecule: ribosomal RNA, 1769 nt
Filed under: Castanopsides falkovitshi
Lineage: Eukaryota; Metazoa; Arthropoda; Insecta; Hemiptera; Miridae
Description: SSU rRNA
Rfam family: Eukaryotic small subunit ribosomal RNA
Source: RNAcentral
GUGAAACCGCAAAAGGCUCAUUAAACCAGUCAUGAUUCACUCGAGUAUACAUGACUGUCUUUGGAUAACUGUGGUAAUCCUAGAGCUAAUACAUGCAAUCAAGUCCCGACCAGUCUGACUGGGAAGGACGCUUUUAUUAGAUCAAGACCAAUCGCCCGGCUCGUUCGGGCGUUGCCUUGGUGACUCUAGGUAACACAUCAGAUCGCACGGUCUUCGCACCGGCGACUUAUCCUUCAAAUGCCUGACUUAUCAACUGUCGAUGGUAGACUCUAUGUCUACCAUGGUUGUAACGGGUAACGGGGAAUCAGGGUUCGAUUCCGGAGAGGGAGCCUGAGAAACGGCUACCACAUCCAAGGAAGGCAGCAGGCACGCAAAUUACCCACUCCCGGCACGGGGAGGUAGUGACAAAAAAUAACGAUACGGGACUCUUAUGAGGCCCCGUAAUCGGAAUGAGUACACUUUAAAUCCUUUAACAAGGAUCCAUUGAAGGGCAAGUCUGGUGCCAGCAGCCGCGGUAAUUCCAGCUUCAAUAGCGUAUAUUAAAGUUGUUGCGGUUAAAAAGCUCGUAGUUGGUUCUGCGUGCCACGCUGUCGGUUCGCCGCCUGCCGGUGUAACUGGCAUGCCGUGGCAUGUCCUGUCGGUGGCGUUCGGGAGCCUUGUCUAGGCGACGGCCCUUGCCAAAAGCUCGGUGUCCGGAGGCCGGGGGUAUACCCGUUCGCCUACUCUAUCCUACCUAGGUGCUCUUUACCGAGUGUCGAGGUAGGCCGACACGUUUACUUUGAACAAAUUAGAGUGCUCAAAGCAGGCUGAAAUCUCUGCCUGAAUAGUGGUGCAUGGAAUAAUAAAACAGGACCUUGGUUCUAUUUUGUUGGUUCUUAGGAACACAAGGUAAUGAUCAAUACGGACAGGCGGGGGCAUUCGUAUUGCGACGUUAGAGGUGAAAUUCUAGGAUCGUCGCAAGACGCACAAAAGCGAAAGCAUUUGCCAACCAUAAACGAUGCCAGCCAGCGAUCCGCCGAUGUUCCUCCGAUGACUCGGCGGGGAGCUUCUUCCCGGGAAACCAAAGCUUUUGGGUUCCGGGGGAAGUAUGGUUGCAAAGCUGAAACUUAAAGGAAUUGACGGAAGGGCACCACCAGGAGUGGAGCCUGCGGCUUAAUUUGACUCAACACGGGAAACCUCACCAGGCCAGGACAUUGGAAGGAUUGACAGAUUGAUAGCUCUUUCUUGAUUCAGUGGGUAGUGGUGCAUGGCCGUUCUUAGUUGGUGGAUCGAUUUGUCUGGUUAAUUCCGAUAACGAACGAGACUCUAGCCUAUUAACUAGGCGUUUUCCGGUGUCCCCGCCACCGGCGACAAUCAUUCUUCUUAAGGGGACAGGCGGCUUACAGCCGCACGAGAUUGAGCAAUAACAGGUCUGUGAUGCCCUUAGAUGUCCUGGGCCGCACGCGCGCUACACUGAAGGAAUCAGCGUGUGCCUCCCUGGCCGAAAGGCCCGGGUAAUCCGCUGAACCUCCUGCGUGCUAGGAAUUGGGGCUUGCAAUUGUUCCCCAUGAACGAGGAAUUCCCAGUAAGCGCGAGUCAUAAGCUCGCGUUGAUUACGUCCCUGCCCUUUGUACACACCGCCCGUCGCUACUACCGAUUGAAUGAUUUAGUGAGGUCUUCGGACUGGCGGUAAUCCCUGCCGACUUGUCGGUAUCGAUGAACGCUGGAAAGAUGACCAAACUUGAUCAUUUAGAGGAAGUAAAAGUCGUAACAAGGUUUCCGUAGGUGAA